GGAAACCACAACUAGCCUAUGCAGAAAGGCCACUUGCAGAGGCCACGUGUAGGUAUUUCAGCUAACAAGCCCCGCUAAACUCUCAGCUGACAGCUAGAACCAAUUUGCCAGCCACGUGAAGGAGCUCUCUUAAGGAGCGAAGCUUAAGUCCCAGCCAGACCAUCCUGUCUGACAUUACACAGAGCCGGGGAGUCUUCCUUGCUGAACCCUGCCCAAACUGCAGACCUAGAACAUUUUGGUGAAGGCCAGAAUUAAAAAUGAUGAGAUGUGAGGAGCAGUUAGAAGACAUUGCAUAAAUCCAAGAGGAGAUAAUGGUGAGUUGCACUAUAGUGGUAUAUGAAAAAUAAUAAAAGUAUAAAGAUUUUUCUGCAUGUGGCAAUG
RNAcentral lists this long non-coding RNA (381 nucleotides) under Mustela putorius furo (domestic ferret). RNAcentral describes it as "lncRNA (ENSMPUG00000030203.1)". Lineage: Eukaryota; Metazoa; Chordata; Mammalia; Carnivora; Mustelidae. The record is from RNAcentral.